RNAcentral lists this long non-coding RNA (217 nucleotides) under Nicotiana benthamiana. Its description in RNAcentral is "long non-coding RNA (NBEN_LNC004399)". Lineage: Eukaryota; Viridiplantae; Streptophyta; Magnoliopsida; Solanales; Solanaceae. The record is from RNAcentral.
ACAUCCGUAUAUCUAUCUUUCUUCUUAAAUUCAUAUAGUAGCAAAGAAAUUUCAGCUAUAUGUACUAAAGCCAUAGUAAUAGUUGGGUAAUAUGCGCCAGAAAACACAACAGUAGCAGUAUAAAAUUUAUGUAUAAAUUUAACAACAUCACUAAUGACCUCCCAAGUAUCAUUUGUUAACAUACGCCUAGGAUCAGUACAAUGUGCAUUAGCAANNN